GAUGAACGCUGGCGGCGUGCUUAACACAUGCAAGUCGAACGGGAAACCUUUUAAAGAAGCUUCGGCAGAUUUAGCUGGUUUCUAGUGGCGGACGGGUGAGUAACGCGUGGGUAACCUGCCUUGUACAGGGGGAUAACAGUCAGAAAUGACUGCUAAUACCGCAUAAGCGCACAGGACCGCAUGGUCCAGUGUGAAAAACUCCGGUGGUAUAAGAUGGACCCGCGUUGGAUUAGCUGGUUGGUGGGGUAACGGCCUACCAAGGCGACGAUCCAUAGCCGGCCUGAGAGGGUGAACGGCCACAUUGGGACUGAGACACGGCCCAGACUCCUACGGGAGGCAGCAGUGGGGAAUAUUGCACAAUGGGGGAAACCCUGAUGCAGCGACGCCGCGUGAAGGAAGAAGUAUCUCGGUAUGUAAACUUCUAUCAGCAGGGAAGAA
This 438-nucleotide ribosomal RNA is filed under the name uncultured bacterium. Its description in RNAcentral is "bacterial SSU rRNA". It matches the Rfam family "Bacterial small subunit ribosomal RNA", at positions 28 to 449 of the family's 1533-position model. The record is from RNAcentral.